GAAGGUUGUUAGAGGACACCUAAGGCUUUGUCAAAUCUUGCUUCCUAAUUGUGGGGCUACAUGGUGGUGCUUAGAGUGGGAUAAGUGGAAAGAGGCCUAGUGCUUACUUAAAAGAGCUGUGGUAUAGACUGAUUGCUCACACCAACAAAAUAAACAAACCUACGCAAUGUUUAUAAAACUAUGUAGUUCAGAAUUCAAGGAAGUUGUCCAAAUUUCAAGACCCAGACAGUUAAGCUCAGGAGCUUAACUUACAAAGCCAAGAAAGAAUUUAAAAAUCACGUCAAAUCCAGAAACAGGAGGAAGAAAAAAAGCUGGUGUUAUCAUUUACAGACAAAUUCUAACAGAGGAGCAGGCCAUAAAAGCUUGGGAAAAAACAUUUUAAAGUGUCCAGCUGCCUCUGGUUUAUGUGAAGAAAGAAGAUGAAAAAUGAGAAGGCAGGAUCGGUAACCACUUUACCUACAAUGGUUAGAGAAGGCGAGAAUUGGAAUCUGAAUGCUAAGAAGAGGCAGCUAAGAGAAGAUCUGAAAAUCAAACAUUUCUAACAGAAGGCACAGAAAGGGUUCCCAGGAAUCUCAAGAAGUAUCAAAGAACUGAGACUUACCAGAUCACCACACCCAGAUAAUGAGUUGCCGACCCCUCAUUCAUCGUGACUGCUUCCUUGCCCCUUCCCAGUUCCUGCUUUCUUAUACAUUGUUACGUUUCUUCCCUGCUGUCUAAACUCUUACUUUUGGUGGGUCAGGAGAUGGAUUAGAGACUGAUCUCCCAUCUCCUGGGCUGCAGCACCCGAUUAAAGCCUUCUUCCUUGGCAA
Homo sapiens (human) is the source of this 809-nucleotide long non-coding RNA. RefSeq lists it as uncharacterized. NCBI's taxonomy places the organism in Eukaryota, Metazoa, Chordata, Mammalia, Primates, Hominidae. The record is from RefSeq and is a predicted model, not a curated record. The transcript is spliced from 2 exons.